Molecule: non-coding RNA, 30 nt
Filed under: Mus musculus (house mouse)
Lineage: Eukaryota; Metazoa; Chordata; Mammalia; Rodentia; Muridae
Source: RNAcentral
UAGCCCAAGAAAAAUGAAAGCAUAUGUUUG